UCGAGUUCCCAACUCAAACUCUGAUGUUAGAGAAAAAACCUACUCUGUGGUUUUUCUUCGAGCAACGGCACAGAGGAAGCAACGGUGCAGAAGAAGAAAAAAGCCCUUUGUUCGAAGAAGGUAUUGAAUCUCACUACCGAGUGAAAACGAGGCAAGAGAAAUUUAAAGGGUCUUGAAGUAUAUAUCGAUUAGCCUUUUCAUUGGUUCCUUUGUUUUGAAAGAUGAAUUUCAUGGUUGAUGCAAUCUAGAAUAUGGUGGGAGCUGGAUUUUAUAUUUUUUUAUUUUCUAGUG
Molecule: long non-coding RNA, 291 nt
Organism: Erythranthe guttata (spotted monkey flower)
Lineage: Eukaryota; Viridiplantae; Streptophyta; Magnoliopsida; Lamiales; Phrymaceae
Source: RefSeq, a predicted model, not a curated record